This 301-nucleotide ribosomal RNA is filed under the name uncultured bacterium. RNAcentral's name for it is "partial 16S ribosomal RNA". It matches the Rfam family "Bacterial small subunit ribosomal RNA", at positions 509 to 807 of the family's 1533-position model. The record is from RNAcentral.
CAGUCGCCGCGGGAAUACAGAGGGUGCAAGCGUUAAUCGGAUUUACUGGGCGUAAAGCGUGCGUAGGCGGCUUUUUAAGUCGGAUGUGAAAUCCCUGAGCUUAACUUAGGAAUUGCAUUCGAUACUGGGAAGCUAGAGUAUGGGAGAGGAUGGUAGAAUUCCAGGUGUAGCGGUGAAAUGCGUAGAGAUCUGGAGGAAUACCGGUGGCGAAGGCGGCCCCCUGGACAAAGACUGACGCUCAGGUGCGAAAGCGUGGGGAGCAAACAGGAUUAGAUACCCCCGUAGUCCCUGUCUCUUAUAC